CCUACGGGUGGCAGCAGUGGGGAAUAUUGGACAAUGGGCGAAAGCCUGAUCCAGCCAUGCCGCGUGUGUGAAGAAGGCCUUCGGGUUGUAAAGCACUUUCAGUGGGGAAGAAAGCCUUGGGGCUAAUACCCUCGAGGAAGGACAUCACCCACAGAAGAAGCACCGGCUAACUCCGUGCCAGCAGCCGCGGUAAUACGGAGGGUGCGAGCGUUAAUCGGAAUUACUGGGCGUAAAGCGCGCGUAGGCGGUCUGAUAAGCCGGUUGUGAAAGCCCCGGGCUCAACCUGGGAACGGCAUCCGGAACUGUCAGGCUAGAGUGCAGGAGAGGAAGGUAGAAUUCCCGGUGUAGCGGUGAAAUGCGUAGAGAUCGGGAGGAAUACCAGUGGCGAAGGCGGCCUUCUGGACUGACACUGACGCUGAGGUGCGAAAGCGUGGGUAGCAAACAGGAUUAGAUACCCCUGUAGUC
Molecule: ribosomal RNA, 465 nt
Filed under: Vreelandella stevensii
Lineage: Bacteria; Pseudomonadati; Pseudomonadota; Gammaproteobacteria; Oceanospirillales; Halomonadaceae
Description: partial 16S ribosomal RNA
Rfam family: Bacterial small subunit ribosomal RNA
Source: RNAcentral